This is a long non-coding RNA of Octopus sinensis (East Asian common octopus), 342 nucleotides long. RefSeq lists it as uncharacterized. The record is from RefSeq and is a predicted model, not a curated record. NCBI's taxonomy places the organism in Eukaryota, Metazoa, Mollusca, Cephalopoda, Octopoda, Octopodidae. The transcript has 3 exons.
UUAAUGUUACAAUAUAGAAUAAAAUGUAUGUAAAGAGAAAAACAUCGAUCGGCGACUUAUUUACUUAGCUCAGGGCAUAUUGUAGUAAACGAAAUAUUAUCUCUCUUACUUGCGGUGAUAGCAUGGAUAAAACAUCGGUUUUAGUCAUUGGGCUGGUGCUACACUGAAGGCAGACAAGGCGAUCGUCAAGAGCAGGGUUUCUAAUUACAGGGGCGUGGACCAGUACCGAACAGCGGAUCAUCUUUUUAUACCGGACCACACAAUCAGCGAUUCGGUUCGCUACCGGGCGAGUCGUGUGUAUGGUGCUGAGGAGCUGACAGACAGCGAAAUAUCGAUGUCCAC